GGUGUUGUAGCUCAGUGGUAGAGUGCUUGCCUCGUAUGCGUGAGGCCCUGGGUUCAGUCCCGAGCACCACAU
Non-coding RNA from Ictidomys tridecemlineatus (thirteen-lined ground squirrel), 72 nucleotides. NCBI's taxonomy places the organism in Eukaryota, Metazoa, Chordata, Mammalia, Rodentia, Sciuridae. The record is from Rfam.